RNAcentral lists this ribosomal RNA (305 nucleotides) under uncultured bacterium. RNAcentral's name for it is "bacterial SSU rRNA". It matches the Rfam family "Bacterial small subunit ribosomal RNA", at positions 335 to 633 of the family's 1533-position model. The record is from RNAcentral.
UGGCCUACGGGGGGCAGCAGUGGGGAAUCUUCCGCAAUGGGCGAAAGCCUGACGGAGCAACGCCGCGUGAUCGAAUGAAGGCCUUCGGGUUGUAAAGAUCUGUUGACAGGGACGAAUAAGCAAUGCGAAUAGUUUUGUGUAUGACGGUACCUGUUUAGAAAGCUCCGGCUAAAUACGUGCCAGCAGCCGCGGUAAUACGUAUGGUGCAAGCGUUAUCCGGAUUUACUGGGUGUAAAGGGAGCGCAGGCGGCGCGUUAAGCCUGGUGUGAAAGCCCGCGGCCCAACCGCGGGACUGCAUUGGGAAC